This 484-nucleotide ribosomal RNA is filed under the name uncultured bacterium. Its description in RNAcentral is "partial 16S ribosomal RNA". It matches the Rfam family "Bacterial small subunit ribosomal RNA", at positions 30 to 507 of the family's 1533-position model. The record is from RNAcentral.
AUUGAACGCUGGCGGCAGGCCUAACACAUGCAAGUCGAGCGGAUGAAGGGAGCUUGCUCCUGGAUUCAGCGGCGGACGGGUGAGUAAUGCCUAGGAAUCUGCCUGGUAGUGGGGGAUAACGUCCGGAAACGGGCGCUAAUAGCGCAUACGUCCUGAGGGAGAAAGUGGGGGAUCUUCGGACCUCACGCUAUCAGAUGAGCCUAGGUCGGAUUAGCUAGUUGGUGGGGUAAAGGCCUACCAAGGCGACGAUCCGUAACUGGUCUGAGAGGAUGAUCAGUCACACUGGAACUGAGACACGGUCCAGACUCCUACGGGAGGCAGCAGUGGGGAAUAUUGGACAAUGGGCGAAAGCCUGAUCCAGCCAUGCCGCGUGUGUGAAGAAGGUCUUCGGAUUGUAAAGCACUUUAAGUUGGGAGGAAGGGCAGUAAGUUAAUACCUUGCUGUUUUGACGUUGCCAACAGAAUAAGCACCGGCUAACUUCGUG